UCCUCCAGAUGCCAAGUUACCAGCAAACCACUUCCAGUAACCAUCUCUGUCCUUCUUAAAGUUGAAAAGCCUUUUGAAGUAAUCUUUGAAGGCAAAGUUCAAGGCCUACAAUGGACAAAAAGGGAGGUUAGCACAAAUUUAUCUUUUCUCAAAAGCUAAAAUUAUGAAAUUCAACCAACCUGAGUGGGGAAGUAACGGAUAACAUUGGCAGUGUUUCCUCUCCAUAGAGAACCAAAUCCUUCAUCCUUUAUCGUCCUGCCGAAACAGUCACCAAUACCCUUGUAGGGUUCAGAAAGCCUACCAGCUUUAAUCAUCUCAUCCUGGUUCUGGAUCAAAAGCUUAACACGCUCAAUAGGAGCAGCAGCAGUCUUUGAGACGGCAGCAGAAACACCACCCAUCAGAAAGUCAAGGGCAAAGUUAGUGAACCCUUUCUCUCCUGGAGUUUGAACAAACACGGGAGAAGCAGUGGUUGCCAGCAUCCGGGAUGAUG
RNAcentral lists this long non-coding RNA (490 nucleotides) under Arabidopsis lyrata. RNAcentral's name for it is "long non-coding RNA (ALYR_LNC002255)". Lineage: Eukaryota; Viridiplantae; Streptophyta; Magnoliopsida; Brassicales; Brassicaceae. The record is from RNAcentral.